Molecule: microRNA precursor, 92 nt
Filed under: Canis lupus dingo (dingo)
Lineage: Eukaryota; Metazoa; Chordata; Mammalia; Carnivora; Canidae
Description: mir-8799 microRNA precursor family
Rfam family: mir-8799 microRNA precursor family
Source: Rfam by way of RNAcentral
GGGCGGGGGCGGAUCCUGGGCUGUGCCCCGGCGCCCUGUGCUCCGGAGCCUGUGCUGUUGUUGGAUUAGUGCUCCCGGCGGCGCAGCCCCCU